Molecule: ribosomal RNA, 439 nt
Filed under: uncultured bacterium
Lineage: Bacteria
Description: partial 16S ribosomal RNA
Rfam family: Bacterial small subunit ribosomal RNA
Source: RNAcentral
CUACGGGGUGCUGCAGUGGGGAAUCUUGCGCAAUGGGCGAAAGCCUGACGCAGCCAUGCCGCGUGAAUGAUGAAGGUCUUAGGAUUGUAAAAUUCUUUCACCGGGGACGAUAAUGACGGUACCCGGAGAAGAAGCCCCGGCUAACUUCGUGCCAGCAGCCGCGGUAAUACGAAGGGGGCUAGCGUUGCUCGGAAUUACUGGGCGUAAAGGGCGCGUAGGCGGAUCGUUAAGUCAGAGGUGAAAUCCCAGGGCUCAACCCUGGAACUGCCUUUGAUACUGGCGAUCUUGAGUAUGAGAGAGGUAUGUGGAACUCCGAGUGUAGAGGUGAAAUUCGUAGAUAUUCGGAAGAACACCAGUGGCGAAGGCGACAUACUGGCUCAUUACUGACGCUGAGGCGCGAAAGCGUGGGGAGCAAACAGGAUUAGAUACCCCAGUAGUC